This is a long non-coding RNA of Gopherus flavomarginatus (Mexican gopher tortoise), 6487 nucleotides long. RefSeq lists it as uncharacterized. NCBI's taxonomy places the organism in Eukaryota, Metazoa, Chordata, Testudines, Testudinidae. The transcript has 3 exons. The record is from RefSeq and is a predicted model, not a curated record.
CAUAGGAGGAAUUAAUUUAUGUGGUAUAAUUAUAAUGUACAUACACACACUCCACUUAAACGUUCACUGUGAAAAAAUAGUAUAAAACUAUUCAUUAGGGGAUUGUAAGGUCUUGUACCCAAUUUUUAUGGCACAGGCAAGUUUGGCCUGGAAACUGCUACAGAGGACUAGAAAAAUUUAAUUCCACACACAAUGGUUAAAAACGUAUGAAACUGUACUACAACAACAAAUAUUUUUACAGCAGCCAUGUAUUUUAAUAAGGGCAAGACACGAGACAUUUUGGUGCAUUUUAAUAACUAUCCAAAAUUUGGUACUUUUGUUAUGUGUGUUCUAAAAGACUUUAGAAGUCUUUAGCAGUAGUUGGUCAGGAAAUUCCACUGAUCAUGCCCAGUCUUAUUGCAUCACUAGAUGAUGAUGCAGUAUUGAGUGAAAAAAAUGUUUAAAUACACAAAAGGAAAAUGAUAGAAUAAUUAUUGCAAUUAAUUGUCCAGCAAAUAAAUGCUCGAAGGAACCAAAUAAGAGGAAAAAAAAGAAAAUGUUUCAUAUAAAAUAAAGGGUAAGAUUUUCAGAAGUGCCAAAGUGAUGUCUGAGCCAAAUUCUCAUUAAUUUAAACAAAAAAUCCCAAAACACAACAAAAACCAAACCAGUGAUGUGAAAGAGAUAGUGCUGAGAUACUUUAUUUAGAUUAAAAUUUAGAUUACAUUACAGAAAUAGGAAGAGGAGGUUACUCACCCUGUGCAGUAACAGAUGUACUUCAAAAUGAGUGUCCCUGUGGGUGCUCCACUUCAGGUGUUGGUACGUCCCUGCGCCUUCGCUCGGAGAUUUUUGCAGCAGUACUCGUACUGGCCACACAUGCACAGAACCUGCCUCCCAACUCUGAGUAUAUCGUAAUAGUACGCAUGUGUGGCUGGUCUCCUCAUUUCCUUCUCUGCAACGGAGGCUACCCCAACUCCAAAGUAGAGGGGAGGAGGGUGGAUAGUGGAGCACCCACAGGGACAUUCAUCUCAAAGAAUGUCAGUUACAGCACACGGUGAGUAACUUCCUCUUCUUCUUCGAGAGAUGUCCCUGUGGGUGGUUCCACUGCAGGUGACUUAAAAGCAGUGUAUCUCAAGGAGGUAGGGUAGCUACACAUCUAGUGGAAGGAGUUCUGAUGGAGUCUGGAGGUGUAACUUGUUUUAUCUGAUAGCACAGUUAGAUGCAGUCAGAGAUCCAGUUUGAAAGUCUCUGGGUAGAAAUAGGUAUCCCUUUGGAACGCUCUGUGAUGGAGACAACAAGUCUAGAAGAGCUUCUAAGAGGUUUGGUUCUAUCCAAAUAGAAGGACAAGGCUCUGCGUACAUCUAACGUAUGUAUUGUGGCUUCAAAAGAGUUUGCAUGUGGUUUUGGAAAGAAAGUCGGUAGGUGUACUGGCUCAUUAAUGUGGAAUGAGUGAACCUUUGGAAGAAAUUUGGGGUGUAAUCUAAAGGUAACCUUGUCCUUGAAAAAUAGUGUAUAUGGUGGAUCUGCCAUAAGGGCUGCUAUUUCUCCUGCCCUUCUGGUGGAGGUAAUUGCCACUAAAAAUCCUGUUUUCAUAAAGAGGUGUAAAAGGGAGCAGGUGGCUAGUGGCUCAAAUGGUUGUUGAGUUAGGCAGGAUAAUACUAAAUGAAGGUCCCACAGAGGGGUAGGCGGUUUAAUGUUUGGGUAUAGGGUUUGGAGUCCCUUGAGGAAACGCUUGGUGAUCGGAUGAGCAAAGACAGAGGUAUUGUCGAUUCUGUCAUGAAAGGUUGUAAUAACAGCUAAGUGGACUCUGAUGGAGCUGAAAGAAAGGCCAGAUUGCUUAAUGUCCAAUAGAUAGUCAAGUAUGAGCAGGAGGGGUACUGACAUGGGAGAAAGUUGUUUAGCUGAACACCAUUGUGUGAAUCACUUCCACUUUCGGAGAUAGGUGGUGCGAGUAUAUUGUGUUCUGCUGUGUAGGAGCACUCUUUGAACUUGGUCAGAGCAAGCUAGCUCGUUUUCGGAGAACCAUGUGGGUACCAGGCUUUGUGGUGAAGCAUGGACAGAUUAGGGUGAAGAAAUCGGCCGUGUUGUUGUAAUUAAGAGGUUCAGAAUGAGGGGCAACGAGAUUGGUGGUCAAAUUGACAUUCUGGUGAGGAACGGAAACCACGGUUGUCUGAGCCACGACGGGCAAUCAAGAUCACCGUGGCACAAUCUGUUCAUAUCUUUGUGAGAACUCUGUGGAGAAUCGGUAUGGGGGGAAAAGUGUAGAGUAAGUUCCGUUGCCAUGCGACCAUAAAUGCAUCUCCCAGGUAAUGUUUGCCGAGUCCUGCUCUGGAGCAAACUUUGGGACAUUUGGUGUUUUUCACAGUUGCAAAAAGGUUUAUGACCCCAAAUGCGAAAUGUGUUACGGAUGAUUGACUUGUUUAUCUCCCACUCAUGAUCCCAGGGAAAGCGUCUGCUUAAUUCGUCCGCUGUGGUAUUCAGAACUCCGGGAAGAUAGGCAACCGAUAUGCGGAUGUUGUUCACAAGGCACCAAUUCCAGAGCUUCAUAGCCGCUGUGCAGAGCGAGUGAGAGUGAGCUCCUCUCUGCCUGUUUACAUAGAACAUGCAGGCAAUGUUGUCUGUUAUGCGUACAUAUUGAUUCCUGAUUAGUGGGAGGAAGUGAUGGCAGGCAUUGCGUAUGGCUCGAAGUUCUAGGACAUUUAUGUGCAGGGAGGUUUCGGUGGAAGACCAUAGCCCCUGGACUGUGUGGUGAGACAUGCGGGCACCCCACCCUGUGAGGGAUGCAUUGGUAGUCAUUAUCGGGGAUGGAGUGUUCUGGAGAAAGGGGACACCAGAGCAGAGGUUGGAAGGAACUCUCCACCAUAGUAUAAAGUCUGACUCGGAAGGGUAUGGAGAGGCUUGUUUAGAGAGUGCACGUUAGGUUUGUAAACCGUGGCCAAGCAAGCUUGUAAGCACCUCAUGUGCAGGCGUGCGUUUUAGACCACGAAAGUGCACACGGCCAUGUGGCCCAGUAGUUGUAGGCAGCCUCGGGCAGUGACCUGGGGUGUGUUGCGAAGUUUUGAGGCCAGAAGUUUUAUGGUGUUGAACUGGUCGGGUGGGAGAGAUGCCAACCCUGUUCGGGAGUCAAGGUGCGCUCCUAUAAACUCCAGGUGCUGGAUAGGGCAUAAUGUGGAUUUGUUUUUGUUUGUUUGUAGGCCAAGAGAUAGGAAACAAUCAACAGUGAGAUGAGUGAAUCGGAGAGGUCUGAUGAAUGUCAAGGCUUUGAGGAGGCAAUCAUCGAGGUAAUUUCUGAAUCCUGGAACCAUGGAGGAGCGAUGCUUUGAUAUGGAGCAGCUGUGGAUUGGGAUUGAAAAUGCGAUCCACACCCUGAGAAAGGAGUUGCUGAGUCAGGCAAAGAGACAUUGGAGGGCAUACUUCCGUAAAGGAGGCCCAGAGAGUGGUACGUGGCUUGAAAACUGCGACAUCCCUUUGGACUUGAGACCUGGUGCUGCCCUUGACAAGCCAAUCAUCGAGGUACAGGUAGAUCUGGAUACCCCGAUGCCUAAGGUAAGCUGCUACCACCAACAUGCACCUGGUGAACACUCUUGGUGCUGUUGCCAGGCUGAAUGGGAGGACCACAAACUGGUAGUGGUGGGGCCCCACCAUAAACCUGGAAGAAGCAUCUGUGUCCUUGAAAGACUGAUAUGUGGUAGUAUGUGUUCUUCAAGUCGAGGGCUGCAUACCAGUCUCCCAGAUUCAGGGAAGGGAUAAUAGAAGCCAAUGAAACCAGGCAGAAUUUUAGCUUCUUUAGGUACUUGUUGAGGUCUCGCAGGUCCAGGAUGGGCCAUAGACCUCUCUCGGCCUUUGGGAUUAAAAAGUGACUGGAACAGAACCCCUUGUUCCUGUAUUUGAGAGGAACUUCUUCCAUUGCAACCUCUUUACCUACUGAGCAAGGAGACUCUCGUGAGACGGGUCCCUGAAGAGGGACAGGAAAGGCAGGUGGGAAGGAAGGGUAUAAAAGAACUAGAGGAUAUAACCCUGCUCCACUGUGAUGAGGACCCAUCAAUCUGAGGUUAUAGCAGUCCAAGUAGGGAUGAAAAGGGAAAGGCGGUUGGAGAACACUGGGACAGAUGGAUUCGGGGAAUAGUCUGGUAGGUUGCCCUCGGGCACACCCUCAAAAUGACCGUUUGGCCCCUUGCUUGAUAGGGGUCGAGCCUGACUAGGCAGAGGGUGAAGGUGGGUGGCUCAGAUGGUGCUUGUAGCCCUUGGCUCAUUUGUGGAGCUGGUUCUGCUGAGGCUGGCUCCCUGGCCCCGAGGCUUGAACCGCUUACACAUUGGGGCUGGGAUGUAAAGACCCAGGGUUUUCAGGGUAGUGUGGGAGUCCUUGAGGCCAUGCAAUUUGCUGUCUGUUUGCUCCACAAAUAGGGCUCAGCUGUUGAAGGGCAAGUCCUGCAUUGACUGCUGAGCCUCAGAGGACAACCCAGAGAGCAGUAGCCAGGAGGCUCGUCUGUUGCGGCCUGGACGGCCACCCUGGCUGUGGUCAUUCCCUCAUCAAGGAUCACUCAGAAUUCCUUCUUGGAAGCCUCAGGAAGCAACCCUUCGACCUCAGCCAUAGCUUGCCACAUAUUAGUCAUAUUGGCCAAGGAGGGCUCGGUGAUUGGCCACUCUCAGCUGAAGGCUAGAAGACUAAUAAAUCUUACAUCCAAAAAGAUCCAGCCUGCUUGAAUCUUCAUUUUUUGGGGUGGCCUGGGUUGUCCUCAACUCUCUUUGUGGUUAACCACCUCUACCAUAAGGAAAUUGGGGACAAAUGGUGAGUAUAAGUACUCAUGCCUCUUGGUUGGCACAAAGUAUUUGUGUUCAGCCCUCUUAGAGAUAGAGACCAGGGAAGAGGGGGUCUGCUAUAGGGCAUUAGUGAUUUUGGAAACACUUUCAUGAGAGGGUAGGGCUAUUCUGGCAGGAGCUGAGGAGCAGAGGACGUCAAACAAAAUCUGAGGGCUCUUCCAGUUCCUCUGCCUGAAGCCCCAGGUUGGAGGUGACCCUCUUCAAAAGUUCUGGUGCGCUUUGGCAUCAUCCUGAGGAACUGGGUAAGGGGGCCCCAUGAUAGCUUGGUCUGGCAAUGACGAGGACAAUGCCAGUGCUGUGGCAACCUCCACUUCCAUUGGUAGAACAGCAGCUUGCUCCUCUAGGUCUUCCUGGACCUGUGGGGUCUUACCCACCAAAGCUACGAGCACCGGAGGGGGACGGGAUACCAAAGCCGCUGGCCUCUCUGAGGAUCCCAACACCAACCGGACAGCCUGAGGAGGCUAGGUGAACCCCCAAGGAUUCCACGGGUACCAUGACGCCAUCCACUGCACUUGGGGCCAUGGGACAGGUUUCAGUGAUGAUGAUGUAGACAGCACCGCAGGUACCAGGGCUCGCCCAGCAGUCAGGGAACCUCGCUCCAUGCCAGAGGUAUAAAUGGAGUGGUCAGUACUGGGUGACCAAGAUCUGGUGGAAAGGUGGCUCUUAUCUGACCGAUGCCAGUCACUGCAUCCCGAAGCCAUCCUGUCCAAGCGAGACAGACGUCUUGGUCAGGAUCUUGGGGACCGACGGCAUUCAGCAGAUCUGCAUCUGACACCUGGCGAUCCACGACUCGCACUACUCGAACGGUAUUGGGAUGCUGAACGGGACCAGGAGUAAAUACAGGUCAGUUGCCAGGAGGAUCUUCCUGAGGAAGGUGAACUACUGCUUGGAGAUGGGCGAUGACUGUCUGUCGAUCUGUGAUCUCUGAUCCUCGAUCGGUACUGGGCCCUUGGAGAUGGUUGAGACCGGUCCAGGAGUUCUUGCCAUGUGGUGCACGCCUCAGAAGGUCUGCACCAAUCUACCCGCAAGGUACGUCUCGAGUCCCUCGAUCGAUGGCCCGUAUGGAAUGGUGCAGCUGCGGCGGGAACACACACGUAGGUCCCAAUGUGGGUAUUCCCCAAGACCGGGGUAAUGCUGGAGCCAAUGUGGGCAGCACCAGCGGCAUCAGGAUCUCCUGAGCUGCUUGUGGGGCUUUGAGCAUCGAUAGCACCAGAAGCUGGCUGGGGCCUGCACCGCUAUCCGGAGCUGCAGGCAAAGUAUGGGAUGGGCUGCACCACUCUACUUGAGUUGGAGCCAGACUUCCUGAAGGGGGUGUUGAGCUGCCCAAUAUAGGUCAUGGCUUGCCCCCAGCCCUCUUCUUUCCCUUAUGGGAGGUAAGAGUUCUUCCCUGCACAGUCUUUUUGUUUUUUUGAUCAGAGCUGUAGAGGACGACCGGUGCUGGCUCGUGGAUGGCACUGGCGGAGCACUGUGCACAGAGGCUGUGGUGCUCGGCGAGAAGUUGGACCGUUGCCGAAGUGAACGUCAACUCCAUUAGGAGCGCUUUCAGAUGGAUAUCGCUCUCCUUCUUUGUUCUAGGUUUAAAGGACUUGCAAAUACUGCACUUGUCACUUAUGUGCCCUUCGCCUAAGCACCUUAGGCAGCCGGUAUGUGGAUCUCUGAUGGGCAAUCACUGGGCCCGUUUGCAGCAAUC